Molecule: ribosomal RNA, 497 nt
Filed under: uncultured bacterium
Lineage: Bacteria
Description: partial 16S ribosomal RNA
Rfam family: Bacterial small subunit ribosomal RNA
Source: RNAcentral
GAUGAACGCUGGCGGCGUGCCUAAUACAUGCAAGUCGAGCGAACGGACGAGAAGCUUGCCUCUCUGAUGUUAGCGGCGGACGGGUGAGUAACACGUGGAUAACCUACCUAUAAGACUGGGAUAACUUCGGGAAACCGGAGCUAAUACCGGAUGAUAUUUUGAACCGCAUGGUUCAAAAGUGAAAGACGGUCUUGCUGUCACUUAUAGAUGGAUCCGCGCUGCAUUAGCUAGUUGGUAAGGUAACGGCUUACCAAGGCAACGAUGCAUAGCCGACCUGAGAGGGUGAUCGGCCACACUGGAACUGAGACACGGUCCAGACUCCUACGGGAGGCAGCAGUAGGGAAUCUUCCGCAAUGGGCGAAAGCCUGACGGAGCAACGCCGCGUGAGUGAUGAAGGUCUUCGGAUCGUAAAACUCUGUUAUUAGGGAAGAACAUAUGUGUAAGUAACUGCGCACAUCUUGACGGUACCUAAUCAGAAAGCCACGGCUAACUACGUG